CAUAGAGUUGAAGCUAUUAACACUAUUGCUUCAUUUGUUGUUGAAACAAUGCAGGAUUUAUUAAAAGAGGAAAAAUGUAAUUACGAGGAAUUUGAGGAAGAAAAGGCUGUUGCUGCAGCAAAGGCGAUAUUGCAAGUUCAAACAGAAUCUGGAUAUAUUGUUGAAUU
Molecule: ribosomal RNA, 167 nt
Filed under: Foraminifera environmental sample
Lineage: Eukaryota; Foraminifera
Description: partial Eukaryotic small subunit ribosomal RNA
Source: RNAcentral